GCGCGAGUGGCGGAACAGGCAGACGCCCAGGUUUUAGGUACCUGUGUCCGAAAGGACGUGGGGGUUCGAGUCCCCCCUCGCGCACCA
This 87-nucleotide transfer RNA is filed under the name Rhodococcus aetherivorans. RNAcentral's name for it is "tRNA-Leu". It matches the Rfam family "tRNA". Rfam says of the family: Transfer RNA (tRNA) molecules are approximately 80 nucleotides in length. RNAcentral also lists the same sequence under 10 other names. Lineage: Bacteria; Bacillati; Actinomycetota; Actinomycetes; Mycobacteriales; Nocardiaceae. The record is from RNAcentral.